RNAcentral lists this transfer RNA (66 nucleotides) under Methana sp. AUS1. RNAcentral describes it as "tRNA-Gly". Lineage: Eukaryota; Metazoa; Arthropoda; Insecta; Blattodea; Blattidae. The record is from RNAcentral.
AUUUAUCUAAUAUAAAUUAGUAUAAUUGACUUCCAAUCAAUAAGUUUGUAUAUAGCAAGAUAAAUA